UACGGUUACCUUGUUACGACUUAGCGCCAGUCACCAGUUUUACCUUCGGAAGUGCCCUCCCUUGCGGGUUAAGCAACCUCCUUCGGGUACCCCCGGCUUCCAUCGCUUGACGGGCGGUGUGUACAAGGCCCGGGAACGUAUUCACGGCAGCGUAGCUGAUCCGCCGUUACUAGCGAUUCCGACUUCAUGGAGGCGAAUUGCAGCCUCCAAUCCGAACUGGGGCGCGCUUUCUGGGAUUUGCUCCCCCUCACGGGUUGGCAUACCCCUCUGUACGCGCCAUUGUAACACGUGUGUAGCCCUAGGCAUAAGGAGCGUACUGACUUGACGUCAUCCACACCUUCCUCCAGCUUAUCGCCGGCAGUCUCUGCUGAGUGCGCCGGGACCUUACGAUCCCGGGUGGCAACAGCAGACGUGGGUUGCGCUCGUUGCGGGACUUAACCCAACACUUCACAGCACGAGCUGACGACAGCCAUGCACCACCUGUGCUAGCUCUCGAUUUAACGAGUCCAUCCCCUUUCGGUUCAGUACUUCUAGCAUGUCAAGCCUAGGUAAGGUUCUUCGCGUAGCGUCGAAUUAAACCACAUGUUCCACCGCUUGUGCGGGCCCCCGUCAAUUCCUUUGAGUUUCAUCCUUGCGGACGUACUCCCCA
This 649-nucleotide ribosomal RNA is filed under the name uncultured bacterium. RNAcentral's name for it is "partial 16S ribosomal RNA". The record is from RNAcentral.